Molecule: ribosomal RNA, 562 nt
Filed under: uncultured bacterium
Lineage: Bacteria
Description: bacterial SSU rRNA
Rfam family: Bacterial small subunit ribosomal RNA
Source: RNAcentral
GCAGUGGGGAAUAUUGCACAAUGGGCGCAAGCCUGAUGCAGCAACGCCGCGUGAGGGACGAAGGCCUUCGGGUUGUAAACCUCUUUUAGUAGGGAAGAAGCGACUGGGUUUUCCUGGGAGUGACGGUACCUGCAGAAAAAGCACCGGCUAACUACGUGCCAGCAGCCGCGGUAAUACGUAGGGUGCAAGCGUUGUCCGGAAUUAUUGGGCGUAAAGAGCUCGUAGGCGGUUUGUCGCGUCUGCUGUGAAAACCCGAGGCUCAACCUCGGGCCUGCAGUGGGUACGGGCAGACUAGAGUGCGGUAGGGGAGAUUGGAAUUCCUGGUGUAGCGGUGGAAUGCGCAGAUAUCAGGAGGAAUACCAAUGGCGAAGGCAGAUCUCUGGGCCGUAACUGACGCUGAGGAGCGAAAGCAUGGGGAGCGAACAGGAUUAGAUACCCUGGUAGUCCAUGCCGUAAACGUUGGGAACUAGAUGUGGGGACCAUUCCACGGUCUCCGUGUCGCAGCUAACGCAUUAAGUUCCCCGCCUGGGGAGUACGGCCACAAGGCUAAAACUCAAAGGAA